AAAUUGAAGAGUUUGAUCAUGGCUCAGAUUGAACGCUGGCGGCAGGCCUAACACAUGCAAGUCGAACGGUAACAGGAAGCAGCUUGCUGCUUCGCUGACGAGUGGCGGACGGGUGAGUAAUGUCUGGGAAACUGCCUGAUGGAGGGGGAUAACUACUGGAAACGGUAGCUAAUACCGCAUAAUGUCGCAAGACCAAAGAGGGGGACCUUCGGGCCUCUUGCCAUCGGAUGUGCCCAGAUGGGAUUAGCUUGUUGGUGGGGUAACGGCUCACCAAGGCGACGAUCCCUAGCUGGUCUGAGAGGAUGACCAGCCACACUGGAACUGAGACACGG
This 332-nucleotide ribosomal RNA is filed under the name Escherichia coli. Its description in RNAcentral is "bacterial SSU rRNA". It matches the Rfam family "Bacterial small subunit ribosomal RNA", at positions 1 to 329 of the family's 1533-position model. The record is from RNAcentral. Lineage: Bacteria; Pseudomonadati; Pseudomonadota; Gammaproteobacteria; Enterobacterales; Enterobacteriaceae.